Molecule: ribosomal RNA, 497 nt
Filed under: uncultured bacterium
Lineage: Bacteria
Description: partial 16S ribosomal RNA
Rfam family: Bacterial small subunit ribosomal RNA
Source: RNAcentral
GAUGAACGCUGGCGGCGUGCCUAAUACAUGCAAGUCGAGCGAACGGACGAGAAGCUUGCUUUUCUGAUGUUAGCGGCGGACGGGUGAGUAACACGUGGAUAACCUACCUAUAAGACUGGGAUAACUUCGGGAAACCGGAGCUAAUACCGGAUAAUAUUUUGAACCGCAUGGUUCAAAAGUGAAAGACGGUCUUUCUGUCACUUAUAGAUGGAUCCGCGCUGCAUUAGCUAGUUGGUAAGGUAACGGCUUACCAAGGCAACGAUGCAUAGCCGACCUGAGAGGGGGAUCGGCCACACUGGAACUGAGACACGGUCCAGACGCCUACGGGAGGCAGCAGUAGGGAAUCUUCCGCAAUGGGCGAAAGCAUGACGGAGCAACGCCGCGUGAGUGAUGAAGGUCUUCGGAUCGUAAAACUCUGUUAUUAGGGAAGAACAGAUGUGUAAGGAACUGUGCACAGCGUGACGGUACCGAAUCAGAAAGCCACGGCUAACUACGUG